This is a small nucleolar RNA of Phragmites australis (common reed), 139 nucleotides long. RefSeq annotates it as small nucleolar RNA Z247. The record is from RefSeq and is a predicted model, not a curated record. The transcript has a single exon. Lineage: Eukaryota; Viridiplantae; Streptophyta; Magnoliopsida; Poales; Poaceae.
CCACUUGAAGAAGAAGAGGUUGUCGGGUAUCUUCUCACGGGUCUCGACUCCGAGUAUGAUCCGGUGGUGGCAUCGCUGACUACCAGGAGCGAUGCACUCUCCCUCACUGAUGUCUACGCCUACCUCCUCAACUAUGAGA